This 414-nucleotide ribosomal RNA is filed under the name uncultured microorganism. RNAcentral describes it as "bacterial SSU rRNA". It matches the Rfam family "Archaeal small subunit ribosomal RNA", at positions 459 to 872 of the family's 1478-position model. The record is from RNAcentral.
CAGCCGCCGCGGUAAUACCGGCGGCCCGAGUGGCGGUCACUAUUAUUGGGCUUAAAGCGUCCGUAGCCGGGUUGGGAAGUCCUCCGGGAAAUCUGGCCGCUUAACGGUCAGAAUGCCGGAGGAUACUCCCAGCCUAGGGAGCGGGAGAGGCCGAGGGGAUUCCCGGAGUAGGGGUGAAAUCCUAUAAUCCCGGGAGGACCACCUGGGGCGAACGCGCUCGGCUGGAACGCGUCCGACGGUGAGGGACGAAGGCCAGGGGAGCAGACCGGAUUAGAUACCCGGGUAGUCCUGGCUGUAAACGAUGCGGACUUUGUGUCGGACAAGCUAUGAGCUUGUCCGGUGCCGGAGGGAAACCGUUAAGUCCGCCGCCUGGGGAGUACGGCCGCAAGGCUGAAACUUAAAGGAAUUGGCGGG